RNAcentral lists this ribosomal RNA (492 nucleotides) under uncultured bacterium. Its description in RNAcentral is "partial 16S ribosomal RNA". It matches the Rfam family "Bacterial small subunit ribosomal RNA", at positions 29 to 507 of the family's 1533-position model. The record is from RNAcentral.
AGUGAACGCUGGCGGUAGGCCUAACACAUGCAAGUCGAACGGCAGCACAGUAAGAGCUUGCUCUUACGGGUGGCGAGUGGCGGACGGGUGAGGUAUACAUCGGAAUCUACUUUUUCGUGGGGGAUAACGUAGGGAAACUUACGCUAAUACCGCAUACGACCUACGGGUGAAAGCAGGGGAGCUUCGGACCUUGCGCGAUUGAAUGAGCCGAUGUCGGAUUAGCUAGUUGGCGGGGUAAAGGCCCACCAAGGCGACGAUCCGUAGCUGGUCUGAGAGGAUGAUCAGCCACACUGGAACUGAGACACGGUCCAGACUCCGACGGGAGGCAGCAGUGGGGAAUAUUGGACGAUGGGCGCAAGCCUGAUCCAGCCAUACCGCGUGGGUGAAGAAGGCCUUCGGGUUGUAAAGCCCUUUUGUUGGGAAAGAAAAGCAGCAGGUUAAUACCCCGCUGUUCUGACGGUACCCAAAGAAUAAGCACCGGCUAACUUCGUG